Molecule: ribosomal RNA, 305 nt
Filed under: uncultured bacterium
Lineage: Bacteria
Description: bacterial SSU rRNA
Rfam family: Bacterial small subunit ribosomal RNA
Source: RNAcentral
AACGAAUGCUGGCGGCGUGCUUAACACAUGCAAGUCGAACGCGAAAGUGCCUUCGGGUACGAGUAGAGUGGCGCACGGGUGAGUAAUGAAUAGGAACGUACCAUUUGGUGGGGAAUAACUUCGGGAAACCGGGGCUAAUACCGCAUAAGAUCGCAGGAUGAAAGGUGGCCUCUACAUGUAUGCUAUCGCCGAAUGAUCGGCCUAUUUCCCAUUAGCUUGUUGGUAGGGUAAAGGCCUACCAAGGCUACGAUGGGUAGCUGGUCUGAGAGGAUGAUCAGCCACACUGGAACUGAGACACGGUCCAG